GAUCCAUGUGAAGAUAAAAAUAGGAAUGCCAUCAUUCCAUCUAAAUCCUUCACUAAAUGCUAAAAGUUCUGAAUUCUUAAAUUUAAGGCAGGGUUAAGAUUCUUUGCCACUGAUUUUCAAUGAGGAUCCAUCCCAGGGCUCGUUAGCCCCCUGUGAGUGGGACCAGCUGUGCUAAUCCUGUGAUCAGCUCAGUGAUUUGGUUCCAGAGGCACCUGGAGCCAGCAGUUAAACCUGGUGCUGGUGUAAAACACAGGAGGAGCAGACAGAGAGAGUGUCCUGCAAAACCAGGAAAGCUUGGAAACACCUUGGGAGAGAGCUCUGAAAGAUUUAAUGACCAAGCCAAAAGCAGCACCUGCCUGAGCAGCAGAGAUGGCUGUGCUGGCCCAGGUCUGGCUGUGCCUGCCAGGAGCAUUUCCCUGCAGCCCAGCCCCAGGGGGAGUCGAUGUGAGGCCCAGCUAAGCUCCACACAAAGCUUGGAAAUUAUUCUGAGCUGCCUGCACAGAACUGUGGAUGGAAUCUUCAGACACAGAGCAAACACUCCUCCUUGGGAGCUCCUUUUCCUGGAGCCUGCCUGGAUGCCUUGGAAGAGGCUUUUUUUGCAUUUUCUGGAAAGCCAAAGGACCACAAGCCCUGAAUGCACUGUCCUGCCUGGAGCAGAGCCUGCAGGGAGGGGAGCCCUGAGCUGCUGGAGACUGCCACUGAAUUUAACUGGACCACAUUGGUGUAAUUGAGAGCAGAAGAUUG
Zonotrichia leucophrys gambelii is the source of this 744-nucleotide long non-coding RNA. RefSeq lists it as uncharacterized. Lineage: Eukaryota; Metazoa; Chordata; Aves; Passeriformes; Passerellidae. The record is from RefSeq and is a predicted model, not a curated record. The transcript has 4 exons.